RNAcentral lists this ribosomal RNA (487 nucleotides) under uncultured delta proteobacterium. RNAcentral's name for it is "bacterial SSU rRNA". It matches the Rfam family "Bacterial small subunit ribosomal RNA", at positions 373 to 847 of the family's 1533-position model. The record is from RNAcentral. Lineage: Bacteria; Deltaproteobacteria.
GGGCGAAGCCCUGACGCAGCGACGCCGCGUGAGCGAUGAAGGCCUUCGGGUUGUAAAGCUCUGUCAAGUAGGGAAGAAAUGCGUAGGUGGUUAAUACCGGUUACAUUUGACGGUACCUCUAAAGGAAGCACCGGCUAACUCCGUGCCAGCAGCCGCGGUAAUACGGAGGGUGCAAGCGUUGUUCGGAAUUACUGGGCGUAAAGGGCGCGUAGGCGGUAUGACAAGUCAGAUGUGAAAGCCCGCGGCUCAACCGGUGAUGUGCAUCUGAAACUGUUAGGCUUGAGUAUGGGAGAGGAAAGUGGAAUUCCUGGUGUAGAGGUGAAAUGCGUAGAUAUCAGGAGGAACACCAGAGGCGAAGGCGACUUUCUGGACCAAUACUGACGCUGAGGCACGAAAGCGUGGGGAGCAAACAGGAUUAGAUACCCUGGUAGUCCACAGCCGUAAACGAUGUCAACUAGGUGGUGGGGGUGUUGACCCCUUCAGUGCC